GAGUUUGAUCAUGGCUCAGGACGAACGCUGGCGGCGUGCUUAACACAUGCAAGUCGAACGAUGAAGCCCAGCUUGCUGGGUGGAAGAGUGGCGAACGGGUGAGUAACACGUGAGUAACCUGCCCUUCACUCUGGGAUAAGCGCUGGAAACGGCGUCUAAUACUGGAUAUGACUCAUACAGGCAUCUGUUGUGAGUGGAAAGAUUUAUCGGUGAGGGAUGGGCUCGCGGCCUAUCAGCUAGAUGGUGAGGUAACGGCUCACCAUGGCGACGACGGGUAGCCGGCCUGAGAGGGUGACCGGCCACACUGGGACUGAGACACGGCCCAGACUCCUACGGGAGGCAGCAGUGGGGAAUAUUGCACAAUGGGCGAAAGCCUGAUGCAGCAACGCCGCGCGAGGGAUGACGGCCUUCGGGUUGUAAACCUCUUUUAGUAGGGAAGAAGCGAAAGUGACGGUACCUGCAGAAAAAGCACCGGCUAACUACGUGCCAGCAGCCGCGGUAAU
This 503-nucleotide ribosomal RNA is filed under the name uncultured Leucobacter sp. RNAcentral's name for it is "bacterial SSU rRNA". It matches the Rfam family "Bacterial small subunit ribosomal RNA", at positions 9 to 524 of the family's 1533-position model. The record is from RNAcentral. Lineage: Bacteria; Bacillati; Actinomycetota; Actinomycetes; Micrococcales; Microbacteriaceae.